GUGCUUGCUUUGACAGUACAUACACUAAAAGUGGAACAAUACAGAUAAAAUUGGCAUGACUCCCACGCAUAGAUGACACACAAAUUUGUGAAGCAUCCAUGUGCUGU
This is a small nuclear RNA of Lemur catta (Ring-tailed lemur), 107 nucleotides long. NCBI's taxonomy places the organism in Eukaryota, Metazoa, Chordata, Mammalia, Primates, Lemuridae. The record is from RefSeq and is a predicted model, not a curated record.